Molecule: ribosomal RNA, 301 nt
Filed under: uncultured bacterium
Lineage: Bacteria
Description: partial 16S ribosomal RNA
Rfam family: Bacterial small subunit ribosomal RNA
Source: RNAcentral
CAGCCGCCGCGGUAAUACGUAGGUGGCAAGCGUUGUCCGGAUUUAUUGGGCGUAAAGCGAGCGCAGGCGGUCAAUUAGGUCUGAUGUGAAAGCCCCCGGCUCAACCGGGGAGGGUCAUUGGAAACUGGUUGACUUGAGUGCAGAAGAGGAGAGUGGAAUUCCAUGUGUAGCGGUGAAAUGCGUAGAUAUAUGGAGGAACACCAGUGGCGAAGGCGACUCUCUGGUCUGUAACUGACGCUGAGGCUCGAAAGCGUGGGUAGCAAACAGGAUUAGAUACCCCAGUAGUCCCUGUCUCUUAUAC